Eubalaena glacialis (North Atlantic right whale) is the source of this 476-nucleotide long non-coding RNA. RefSeq lists it as uncharacterized. The transcript has 3 exons. The record is from RefSeq and is a predicted model, not a curated record. NCBI's taxonomy places the organism in Eukaryota, Metazoa, Chordata, Mammalia, Artiodactyla, Balaenidae.
CGCUUCUCUUCAUCAGUCUGAGAAAAACAUUCUUCUGAGAUACGUGCGGCCCACUCAAUGCACUGCUCCAGGGGUCGGCAGGGAUUGGACACAUCAGCACACUUAAUCAGUCAGGUUCCAGAAAUGACGUCUGCUGAAGGAGAACAUGUUCUAGCAAUGAAAUCUUCAAAAGGCUCCUGCCGCUGCUCUGUGACUGGGACCCCCAGGUUGUCUUUGGAAGUUUCUAAGGCCUCCUGAGUAGAGACUGGGACAUGGAAGGAGUCGAGAGGCAAAGGAAUCCCAGCAUCACCUGUAAUUUUCUGAAACUGGAGGGAAAGACAAAAGACAAGACAAAAAUUCAGUGAUGAACAAAGCCAACCAUUAAAAAGCACAUGUAAACAGUAUAUAGUUUGUGACCAGACUGUGUUCUCAAGCUGUCAGUUCCCAAGACCAGUCUGAGAUUGGCUGAGGUGGGCGAAGGGGGCUCCAAGUAAGGC